RNAcentral lists this ribosomal RNA (292 nucleotides) under uncultured Alphaproteobacteria bacterium. Its description in RNAcentral is "partial 16S ribosomal RNA". The record is from RNAcentral. Lineage: Bacteria; Pseudomonadati; Pseudomonadota; Alphaproteobacteria.
GGACUACAGGGGUUUCUAAUCCUGUUUGCUCCCCACGCUUUCGCGCCUCAGCGUCAGUAUCGGUCCAGAGAGCCGCCUUCGCCACCGGUGUUCUUCCCAAUAUCUACGAAUUUCACCUCUACACUGGGAAUUCCACUCUCCUCUCCCGAACUCAAGCCGUUCAGUCUCAAGCGCAGUUCCCAGGUUGAGCCCGGGGCUUUCACGCCUGACUUGAAUGGCCGCCUGCGCGCCCUUUACGCCCAGUAAUUCCGAACAACGCUAGCCCCCUUCGUAUUACCGCGGCUGCUGGCAC